AGUGGGAGAGGGGCAGCGCGUGAGGUACAAGAUCGAUCGUUUGAUUGCUCCUUGUUCGACGUGAUCAGUUUGAAACCGCUUGACACGGCCAGCUAAGCGAAGCGGCCAAAUGAGCACAUCGUUGUCAUACGAAACACAUCAUAGUAGAGAAAGACAUAGGCAAAAAAGGACGAAAGGGAACGAGCCCGGCUAUUAAAAGAUCCGUAGGACACACCUCCUUUGUUCUGCGUGCCUUUGGCUACUCCAAGCUAGGAGGGUCAAAGUUGUCUGAAAACGGCUGAAAAAGCCAAAAAGAAGCAUUCCUGCCGCACAGCAGAGCAUACAACACCGCAGUUACAGCAAGGGAACUGGGAAUACACAUUUCACAGCAUUUCAUCCUACACACACCAUCAGGGGUCACCCGGGAGGGAACGUGAGCCGCCGCCAGACCGUGUGACUCACCAGCAGCUUCUCCAGGUAGACGGACCAGAUGACGGCGUAGUGGCCGACGGUGAUGA
Hippocampus zosterae (dwarf seahorse) is the source of this 497-nucleotide long non-coding RNA. RefSeq lists it as uncharacterized. Lineage: Eukaryota; Metazoa; Chordata; Actinopteri; Syngnathiformes; Syngnathidae. The transcript has 3 exons. The record is from RefSeq and is a predicted model, not a curated record.